UUUUUUUUUACAGUCUUCAACGCGAAGCAAUACUGCUCAAUGUGUGCUUUGCAUCAUCCAGAGAAAACUGAUGAUAAUCUGACCAACUGGGCUUCCAUGUCUUCCCCCUGGACCUCCUCAAUAUCCACCUCUUGAACAUCAGACUCUGAGGCCUCAUCUUUACUAACACUUUCCAACCUUAAUGAGGAUGGCUCGUUGUCAGGCUCAAAAAGCCUCACAUUUGCCUGGAUGGCCACCAAUUUUUCAACCCUUGUAUUGGUCAGCCUGUUACGUGAUUUGGUGUGUGUGUUCCCAAACUAGGACCAGUUGCGCUCUGAGGCGGCUGAUGUUGGUGGGAUUUGGAGGAUGAUGGAGGCAACAGGGGAGAGCCUCAAAUCCACAAAGUCCCUUCCACCAGGUGGCUAAUGAGAUAUAUGUUGGCACGACUGCAGUAUUGCAUCUCCAUCCCAAAGCCCUUGCUUGGAAGUGUACUUCGCCAGACUACCAAGAACCUUGCUCUCAUCCAGACCAAGGUGGCGAGACAUGGUAGUGAUGACACCAUAGGCCCUGUUGAUCUCUGCACCAGACAGGAUGCUCUUGCUAGCAUUUUUGGGGUCCAACAUGUAUGGGCUUCAGGCAGAAGUCUUCACGCUUUUUGAUGUAUUUCAGAACUGCAGUUUCCUCUGCUUGGAGCAACAGUGAAGAGGUUUUAAGGCAGUACAGAUUUCUUCUCUUACAUCUGCAAGCAGUCUGAACAUCAGACAAUAUGGCAUUGUCUCCCUCAAUCCGUGCACUGGCUCCUGCUAUAGGUUUCAGGAGUUUCAGGCUGCUUACCACUCUCUCCCAAAAUACAUCAUCCAGGAGGAUCCUCUUGAUGGGGCUGUCCAUAUCGGCAGACAGUGAUAUGGCCAUUUCUUGGAGAGAAUUCUUCCCCUCCAGGAGACUGUCAAACAUGAUGACAACACCAGUGUUGCUGGGCAGCUUCAAUGAGGCGCUCGUAUUCUUCUCACUUUGCUUGGUGAGGUAGAUUGGUGCUAAAACUUGAUGACCCUUCACAUACCUAACCAUUUCCUUGGCUCUCUUGUAGUGUAUCCAUUGUUUUCAGUGCCAUGAUGUCCUUGAGGAGCAGAUUCAAUGCAUGAACAGCACAGCCAAUGGGUGUGAUGUGAGGGUAGGACUCCUCCACUUUAGACCAAGCAGCCUUCAUGUUCGCAGCAUUGUCUGUCACCAGUGCAAAUAUCUUCUGUGGUCUAAGGUCAUUGAUGACUGACUUCAGCUCAUCUGCAAGGUAGAGACCAGUGAGUAUGUUGUCCCUGGUGUCUGUGCUCUUGAAAAUGAGUAAAAAGAACAACAAAUACAAUUCCAUGUACAGAUAAAUAGUUAAGCAGUUAGAUUAAACAACUCCUUUGUAAGGAGAUUAUUUCCUUUAUAAUUCACUGUAUCACAAUUCCAGUGGGUCAGAAGUUGACAUACACUAAGUUGACUGUGCCUUUAAAAAGCUUGGAAAAUUCCAGAAAAUUAUGUCAUGGCUUUAGAAGCCUCUGAUAGGCUAAUUUACAUAAUUUGAGUCAAUUGGAGGUGUACCUGUGAAUGUAUUUUAUGGCCUACCUUCAAACUCAGUGCCUCUUUGCUUGACAUCAUGGGAAAAUCAAAAUAAAUCAGCCAAGACCUCAGAAUAAAAAAUGUAGACCUCCACAAGUCUGGUUCAUCCUUGGGAGCAAUUUCCAAACGCCUGAAGGUACCAUGUUCAUCUGUACAAAUAAUAGUACACAAGUAUAAACACCAUGGGACCACGCAGCCGUCAUACCACUCAGGAAGGAGACGCGUUGUGUCUCCUAGAGAUGAACGUACUUUGGUGCGAAAAGUGCAAAUCAAUCCCAGAACAACAGCAAAGGACCCUGUGAAGAUGCUGGAGGAAACAGGUACAAAAGUAUCUAUUUCCACAGUAAAACAAGUCCUAUGUCGACAUAACCUGAAAGGCCCCCUAGCAAGGAAGAAGCCACUGAAGCUGUGAUGCUUGCAAGCCGAAGAACACCAUCCCAACCGUGAAGCAUGGGGGUGGCAGCAUCAUGUUGUGGGGGUGCUUUGCUGCAGGAGGUACUGGUGCACUUUACAAAAUAGAUGGCGUCAUGAGGAUGGAAAAUGAUGUGGAUAUAUUGAAGCAACAUCUCAAGACAUCAGUCAAGAAGUUAAAGCUUGGUCGCAAAUGGGUUUUCCAACUGGACAAUGACCUCAAGCAUACUUCCAAAGUUGUGGCAAAAUGUCUUAAGGACAACAAAAUCAAGGUAUUGGAGUGGCCAUCAAAGCACUGACCUCAAACCUAUAAAAAAUGUGUGGGCAGAACUGAGAAGCGUGUGCGAGCAAGGAGGCCUACAAACCUGACUCAGUUACACCAGCUCUGUCAGGAAGAAUGGGCCAAAAUUCACCCAACUUAUUGUGGGAAGCUUGUGGAAGGCUACCCAAAACGUUUGACCCAAGUUAAACAAUUUAAAGGCAAUGCUACCAAAUACUAAUUAAGUUUAUGUAAACUUCUGACCAACUGGGAAUGUGAUGAAAGAAAUAAAAGCUGAAAUAAAUCACUCUCUCUACUAUUAUUCUGAUAUUUCACAUUCUUAAAAUAAAGUGGCGAUCCUAACUGACCUAAGACAGGGAAUUUUUACUAGCGUUAAAUGUCAGCAACAGAGAAACUGAAUUUAAAUAUAUUUGGCUAAGGUGUACAGUCGUCGCCAAAAGUUUUGAGAAUGACACAAAUAUUAAUUUUCAAAGUCUGCUGCCUCAGUUUGUAUGAUGGCAAUUUGCAUAUACCCCAGAAUGUUAUGGAGAGUGAUCAGAUGAAUUGCAAAGUCCCUCUUUGCCAUGCAAAUGAUUUGAAUCCCCAAAAAGCAUUUCCACUGCAUUUCAACCCUGCCACAAAAGGACCAGCUGACAUCAUGUCAAUGAUUCUCUUGUUAACACAGGUGUGAGUGUUGACGAGGACAAGGCUGGAGAUCACUGUGUCAUGCUGAUUGAGUUCGAAUAACAGACUGGAAGCUUCAAAAGGAGAGUGGUGCUUGGAAUCAUUGUUCUUCCUCUGUCAAUCAUGGUUUCCUGCAAGGAAACACGUGCCGUUAUCAUUGCUUUGCACAAAAAGGGCUUCACAGGCAAGGAUAUUGCUGCCAGUAAGAUUGCACCUAAAUCAACCAUUUAUCGGAUUAUCAAGAACUUCAAGGAGAGCGGUUCAAUUAUUGUGAAGAAGGCUUCAGGGCGCCCAAGAAAGUCCAGCAAGCGCCAGGACCGUCUCCUAAAGUGGAUUCAGCUGCGGGAUCCGGGCACCACCAGUACAGAGCUUGCUCAGGAAUGGCAUCAGGCAGGUGUGAGUGCAUGUGCACGCACAGUGAGGCGAAGACUUUUGGAGGAUGGCCUGGUGUCAAGAAGGGCAGCAAAGAAGUCACUUCUCUCCAGGAAAAACAUCAGGGACAGACUGAUAUUCUGCAAAAGGUACAGCGAUUGGAAUGCUGAGGACUGGGGUAAAGUCAUUUUCUCUGAUGAAUUCCCUUUCCGAUUGUUUGGGGCAUCCGAAAAAAAAGCUUGUCCAGAGAAGACAAGGUGAGCGCUCCCAUCAGUCCUGUGUCAUACCAACAGUAAAGCAUCCUGAGACCAUUCAUGUGUGGGGUUGCUUCUCAGCCAAGGGAAUGGGCUCACUCACAAUUUUGCCUAAGAACACAGCCAUGACAAAGAAUGGUACCAACACAUCCUCCGAGAGCAACUUCUCACAACCAUCCAGGAACAGUUUGGUGACGAACAAUGCCUUUUCCAGCAUGAUGGAGCACAUUGCCAUAAGGCAAAAGUGAUAACUAAGUGGCUCGGGGAACAAAACUUCAAUAUUUUGGUUCCAUGGCCAGGAAACUCCCCAGACCUUAAUCCCAUUAAGAACUUGUGGCCAAUCCUCAAAAGGCGGGUGGACAAACAAAAACCCACAAAUUCUGACAAACUCCAAGCAUUGAUUAUGCAAGAAUGGGCUGCCAUCAGUCAGGAUGUGGCCCAGAAGUUAAUUGACAGCAUGCCAGGGCGGAUUGCAGAGGUCUUGAAAAAGAAGGGUGAACAAAAAUAUCUAGACACUGAAGCAGCAAACUUUGUGGAAAUUAAUAUUUGUGUCAUUCUCAAAACUACGACUAUAUGUAAACUUCCAACUUCAACUGUACAUACUAUGACAGCAAUUCACUGUAAUAGGUACACACGUUGUAUCUGGCACAAGUGACGAUUAAACUGAUUUGGAUUUCAAAAACUGCCAUUAUUGUAACGUUUGAUAUAACGACAUUGAUGUGGGAUAUCUUUUUUAUCAAAACAUACGUUUUUUGCAAAUGCAUGCCUUUAUUACUAUAUGAUUUAUAUUGCCUGAAUACUCAAUGAUGAUUAACACCUCAGUUAUGUGUGCUUCUGUCAGGGUUGUGGUCAAAUGCAUGUCAUUUAAAGUCAAUUUAGCAAUUGAACAAAAAUCCAAUCCAAUCCAAUUUGAAAAUGUUCUUAAUUGCAAAAGCAUGUAACAGAAUUUGGGUAUUUCAGAACUGUAAUUUAGAUGUAAAUAAACAUAAGCCUGUUUUUAGAUGUAAAUAAACAUAACCCUGUUUUAUGUUUUUAA
Salvelinus fontinalis (brook trout) is the source of this 4597-nucleotide long non-coding RNA. RefSeq lists it as uncharacterized. The transcript is spliced from 2 exons. The record is from RefSeq and is a predicted model, not a curated record. NCBI's taxonomy places the organism in Eukaryota, Metazoa, Chordata, Actinopteri, Salmoniformes, Salmonidae.